RNAcentral lists this long non-coding RNA (385 nucleotides) under Prunus persica (peach). Its description in RNAcentral is "long non-coding RNA (PPER_LNC008159)". The record is from RNAcentral. Lineage: Eukaryota; Viridiplantae; Streptophyta; Magnoliopsida; Rosales; Rosaceae.
UGGCAUGACCUUUGCAUUGGGAGGACACACAACUCUACUUUGGACAUUUUCAGGAAUAACCCACAGCUCUUGAGGCUGUACCGGGUAGAUGGUAUCUGAAUAAGCAUCCAACCAUGUAUUUCGAGUGUAAUAACGAGAAGCCAUGGAGUAUACAUUUAGUUUCAAGAAACGGCAAACUACAACUACAUACUUGCAAGGUAGUUGCUCAAGCUGAAACUUCCUACAACUGCAAGUGUUAUUCGUCAAAUGUACGUGGCCGUCCAUAUCACCGUCCACGACAUUAUACUCUACAUGAUUCAGUUUCACGACAUUCAUCCUUGAAGCGCAUUCCAACCUACGUCUCAGCUUCUUCUUGCCAAAGUCAGGGCACAAUGUUGAUGUACAU